This 403-nucleotide ribosomal RNA is filed under the name uncultured bacterium. RNAcentral describes it as "partial 16S ribosomal RNA". It matches the Rfam family "Bacterial small subunit ribosomal RNA", at positions 28 to 526 of the family's 1533-position model. The record is from RNAcentral.
GACGAACGCUGGCGGCGUGCCUAAUACAUGCAAGUCGAACGCAGUGGGGACGGGUGAGUAACACGUGGGUAACCUCCCAUCAGAGGGGAUAACACUUGGAAACAGGUGCUAAACCGAUACUGAUGGAUGGACCCGCGGUGCAUUAGCUAGUUGGUGAGGUAACGGCUCACCAAGGCCACGAUGCAUAGCCGUCCUCGGAGGGUGAUCGGCCACACUGGAACUUGGACACGGCCCAGACUCCUACGGUAGACAGCAGUAGGGAAUCUUCGGCAAUGGACGAAAGUCUGACUGAGCAACGCCGCGUGAUUGCAUAAGGUUUUCGGAUCGUAAAACUCUGUUGUUAGAGAAGCUGUACCUACCCAGAAAGCCACGGCUAACUACGUGCCAGCAGCCGCGGUAAUAC